Arachis ipaensis is the source of this 869-nucleotide non-coding RNA. The record is from RefSeq and is a predicted model, not a curated record. NCBI's taxonomy places the organism in Eukaryota, Viridiplantae, Streptophyta, Magnoliopsida, Fabales, Fabaceae.
ACGCUCUCGAUCUCCCUUCUAUCUCUCCUUCGUCUCCUCCAUGUAAAGAAGCUCUCCGACAACGCCGUUCUUCCCUCUAGGGCUUCUCCUCUCUCUGCCGGUUAUGAUCUCUCCAUUGCUGUGGAGACGAAGAUUUCGGCGAGAGGCAAGACUCUGGUGGCUACUGACCGCAGCAUUUCGAUUCCAGAAGGCACCUAUGCCUGCAUUGGUGAUUAAAUUACCGAUUUCUUUGUUUUUGUUGGGGUUACGGUUUCAAAAUUGUUUUUGGUGCUGAUUUUUGGGGAUUUUUGUUUCUCUGCAACUCUGCGAUUGGGUUUUGCGUUGAAGCAUUCGAUUGACGUUGGUGCGGGGGUGAUUGACGCCGAUUACAGAAGACCGGUUGGGAUGAUACUGUUCAACCAGUCGACGAUCUCAGGUCUUCUUUCGGAUCUUGGAUCUUCUUUUCUUUCUCUCUCUCUCUCUCUCUCUCUCUCUCUCUCUCUCUCUCUCUCUCUCUCUCUCUCCGAUCUCAGAUCUUCUAUUGCUUACUUGUAUUAAGUUGUUUCUCUGAUCUCAUAUCUCAGAAAAAAUCUAUCAUAGCUUAGUUUCACAAAGCUUACAUCCUUAUUUGCGAUUACAACAUUCUUUCCAAUUCUAGCAUUUUGUCAAUAAUACAGUCUCUGCAUUUGUGACAAGAAAGAAGUGAGAACAUAUGAAAAGAGGAACCAAUGGACAAAUAUUAAGAAAAAAUCAGCACGAAGCAUCACAGUAUCCUGCAUCGACGAAGAGUUUCUUCUUAAUGUAUACAUUGGCUUUGCCGCAUCAUAAAAGCUGAACCUGGGUGGCUGAAAAUUACACAAUAUUUUCUAAGUCAGUAAGGUUAAACACCU